AUGAGAGAAUGUGUGAAACAUUAGUGCAAAUUUUGUUUUCUUUUCUUUACAGUUUUGCUCAUGGUACAUACAUUCAAUGAAGGUUUUAUAUACCUCUGGGUCCUCUCCUGGCCACCACUGGGCUGUUUUCUAAACCAGUGUGAUGCCUCAGGUGCAGAAGAGAGAGACAAUAAUUAACAAUGUGGCCUGCAGCAUCUUGGGGAACAAUUAAUUUUAGUGAAUGGACAAGGGGAGGAAGUGGGAAGAUUCAGGCAGCGAUUAUUACUUAAGACACCAUCUCUUUGAAGAGUAUAUAUGCAAUAAUGCUCCAUUUCAGGUUCUAAAUAAGGAACGGUCAGAUCCAUGCAGAUCAUCAGCACAGAGGAGGAAGAUCCAUUUGGAGUAACACCUCUCCAUGUUUCAGACCAUCAUUCUGAAACUCUGGCACUGGGCUUGAGCAGUUCGGAUCGCAGCCUGCCCCUGAGGGAAGAGCUGGAAGGGACAGCUACCACAGCCGGCAGGACUCUGCCCCGCGGUUCAUCGUCGUGUUCGCGGCGCAGUGGAACGCUUUGCGGAACUCCUCGAAGUUGCUCAUGGCUCCGAUUACUCUGCAAAGAGAAAAGUGAUUGACGUGCAGGUUGCCUUUUGUCAAACACUACAGCCUGAUGCCUUCAGGAGUUUUCCUAAUAAAUACUCUAUCCCUAGAGUUCCAUGUGUAUCACCAUCUCAUGGGAAUGGAGCAAUGAAAUGAUUCAGAAUAUAUACAUACAAGUAAAUAAAUCUGAAGAAUUUAAAAGACAACAGAUGGUUAUUUUACCAAAAUCUUAACACAGGUAGGUAUUAUGAAAAUAAUAUCUCUGUAGGCUGAAGGUCAACCUGAUGCUCCUGUCCUCAUUGUCAUUAUGUAUUUUCAAUAUUAAAAGCCACACAGAUUUGCAUACUGAACUACUUUUACUCUCACUAACUGGUAUAACACUCUUUUAGUCAACAAAAACUGGUAGGAUUUUCUGGAAGGUAAAUAAUCCACUGUAUUUUGUGAAUUUUGUCCAAAUAAAGAGGUAAUGUAGUACUUGACCAAGGGCAAACACAGAAUUCUUAGUUAAGUAAAUGCAACCAACAUGUUCUUGGUGAAGAAAAAUAAACUCUGGCUUCCUAAUUCCUGUUUAGUCUCUAAAACUUUCCCCCUUCCUAUUGCAGGGAGUUCAUGAGUGUCUGUGGCUAGAGGAGCCUGUGGGAGACCUUUUGGCAAGGAGAGUUUCCCUCUGUUAUGGCUGGACAAGCACAGCUCCUUCAAGCAAAGUGUCACUUGAAGGCCAGUGGAAGAGUUUGGUCUUGAACUGAACUCACAGGACACAUUUUGCUUUGCAUUAUCAAUGUAAUUCAAGGUUGAGACUUAGGAGCUUUUAAUGAACUCAGGCAGAUUAAAUCAAGGACCCUCCUUAUAUUCACUGUUUUCUAAACUAGAAUUGCUUAGGGCAAGAAAGUGAUAGAUGAGGCAUUUUAGGUACUCAGACCAUGAUUACAGGAAUCACAGGGAUCAGAGUGUGUUCUGGUUCAAAUGCUUUUGAAGGUGGAUGCAAGCUCCUCAAUUUCACAGAAGAGCAUUUAUAAUAGUGAAAGAUAAGCUAAUAAAACCAGUUCAAUUUCCAUCUAAACCAAGAGCACAGUCCAAUUUUGUGUUUGCUCUUAACCCCCUCUUAAAAUGCUAUAUUUCUGCACUUCUGUUCUGCAGUGAUUGAUUCUGUGUGUACACUGAGGAAAUACCAUAUUUGCACUACCUGAACUGAGGAGGGCUGUGAGCUCCAGUAUAUAUUUGCUCCCUCGCAGAUUCUGGUCUAAAGGAGUUGCAUCUUACCUAAUAAAAUAAAAUUAAAAAAUUAAAAAGAACAGAAAAAAACUCAUUAUCUGUGAUGACUUUUUAUAUACAGCAAAAUGUAAUGUCACUGUUCUUAAGAUGUUUACUACUUAUAGAAUGCAUAAAACAGAAAGACACCAUAAAUUCCUGCUUUGUUUCACCUUUGCCAAUCUGCAGAUUUCUUUUGUUAUAUUCUCUUGCUUUUCAAAUCCCUUAAUGGAUCCAGUGUCCACCCACUGUUUUUCUCUACACACUUUCAUAUCAUCUAGUCAGUCACUUUGCUAGUUCUUUUUUUGAAGUUCUCAAUAAUGGUAGCUUGUCUUUCAGCUUGUUCUGCAGCAUCUCGCACCUUAAUAAUUACCAAACAUGCUUCUUGGUCCCAAAACUAUGUAAUGUGUAUAAAAGGUACACAUAAUGAUGCUUAUCAUCUCUAGAAUUGCUGCUAUAUUACCUAAUAUAUUUAUGCCAUGUUGGAA
Molecule: non-coding RNA, 2310 nt
Organism: Lonchura striata (white-rumped munia)
Lineage: Eukaryota; Metazoa; Chordata; Aves; Passeriformes; Estrildidae
Source: RefSeq, a predicted model, not a curated record